Molecule: non-coding RNA, 236 nt
Organism: Castor canadensis (American beaver)
Lineage: Eukaryota; Metazoa; Chordata; Mammalia; Rodentia; Castoridae
Source: RefSeq, a predicted model, not a curated record
AGACUGUGCCUCACUAGAUCGUCAAAAGACUGUUACCUGUAUAGUUCUAAAAGUUUGAAGGAAGAAAGACUUCCAAAAGAAUCAACCAAGUCUACUGAGGCACAGUUUGACUCAAAAGGAUCCAACUGCUUAGCAAAUGGAAAAUAACACUGUGGAGCAUUGACUGCAUUUGAAUACACCAGAAACUAAAAUACCACACUAUCCAGUUCAAUACAGGACACCUGGCAACCCCAUUU